RNAcentral lists this ribosomal RNA (249 nucleotides) under uncultured Actinomycetales bacterium. RNAcentral describes it as "partial 16S ribosomal RNA". It matches the Rfam family "Bacterial small subunit ribosomal RNA", at positions 84 to 334 of the family's 1533-position model. The record is from RNAcentral. Lineage: Bacteria; Bacillati; Actinomycetota; Actinomycetes; Actinomycetales.
GGGGUGCUCGAGUGGCGAACGGGUGAGUAACACGUGAGUAACCUGCCCUUGACUUUGGGAUAACUUCAGGAAACUGGGGCUAAUACCGGAUAGGAGCUCCUGCUGCAUGGUGGGGGUUGGAAAGUUUCGGCGGUUGGGGAUGGACUCGCGGCUUAUCAGCUUGUUGGUGAGGUAGUGGCUUACCAAGGCUUUGACGGGUAGCCGGCCUGAGAGGGUGACCGGCCACAUUGGGACUGAGAUACGGCCCAG